This 2639-nucleotide ribosomal RNA is filed under the name Escherichia coli. Its description in RNAcentral is "partial 23S ribosomal RNA". It matches the Rfam family "Bacterial large subunit ribosomal RNA". Lineage: Bacteria; Pseudomonadati; Pseudomonadota; Gammaproteobacteria; Enterobacterales; Enterobacteriaceae. The record is from RNAcentral.
CAUAGGUUAAUGAGGCGAACCGGGGGAACUGAAACAUCUAAGUACCCCGAGGAAAAGAAAUCAACCGAGAUUCCCCCAGUAGCGGCGAGCGAACGGGGAGCAGCCCAGAGCCUGAAUCAGUGUGUGUGUUAGUGGAAGCGUCUGGAAAGGCGCGCGAUACAGGGUGACAGCCCCGUACACAAAAAUGCACAUGCUGUGAGCUCGAUGAGUAGGGCGGGACACGUGGUAUCCUGUCUGAAUAUGGGGGGACCAUCCUCCAAGGCUAAAUACUCCUGACUGACCGAUAGUGAACCAGUACCGUGAGGGAAAGGCGAAAAGAACCCCGGCGAGGGGAGUGAAAAAGAACCUGAAACCGUGUACGUACAAGCAGUGGGAGCCUCUUUAUGGGGUGACUGCGUACCUUUUGUAUAAUGGGUCAGCGACUUAUAUUCUGUAGCAAGGUUAACCGAAUAGGGGAGCCGAAGGGAAACCGAGUCUUAACUGGGCGUUAAGUUGCAGGGUAUAGACCCGAAACCCGGUGAUCUAGCCAUGGGCAGGUUGAAGGUUGGGUAACACUAACUGGAGGACCGAACCGACUAAUGUUGAAAAAUUAGCGGAUGACUUGUGGCUGGGGGUGAAAGGCCAAUCAAACCGGGAGAUAGCUGGUUCUCCCCGAAAGCUAUUUAGGUAGCGCCUCGUGAAUUCAUCUCCGGGGGUAGAGCACUGUUUCGGCAAGGGGGUCAUCCCGACUUACCAACCCGAUGCAAACUGCGAAUACCGGAGAAUGUUAUCACGGGAGACACACGGCGGGUGCUAACGUCCGUCGUGAAGAGGGAAACAACCCAGACCGCCAGCUAAGGUCCCAAAGUCAUGGUUAAGUGGGAAACGAUGUGGGAAGGCCCAGACAGCCAGGAUGUUGGCUUAGAAGCAGCCAUCAUUUAAAGAAAGCGUAAUAGCUCACUGGUCGAGUCGGCCUGCGCGGAAGAUGUAACGGGGCUAAACCAUGCACCGAAGCUGCGGCAGCGACGCUUAUGCGUUGUUGGGUAGGGGAGCGUUCUGUAAGCCUGUGAAGGUGUGCUGUGAGGCAUGCUGGAGGUAUCAGAAGUGCGAAUGCUGACAUAAGUAACGAUAAAGCGGGUGAAAAGCCCGCUCGCCGGAAGACCAAGGGUUCCUGUCCAACGUUAAUCGGGGCAGGGUGAGUCGACCCCUAAGGCGAGGCCGAAAGGCGUAGUCGAUGGGAAACAGGUUAAUAUUCCUGUACUUGGUGUUACUGCGAAGGGGGGACGGAGAAGGCUAUGUUGGCCGGGCGACGGUUGUCCCGGUUUAAGCGUGUAGGCUGGUUUUCCAGGCAAAUCCGGAAAAUCAAGGCUGAGGCGUGAUGACGAGGCACUACGGUGCUGAAGCAACAAAUGCCCUGCUUCCAGGAAAAGCCUCUAAGCAUCAGGUAACAUCAAAUCGUACCCCAAACCGACACAGGUGGUCAGGUAGAGAAUACCAAGGCGCUUGAGAGAACUCGGGUGAAGGAACUAGGCAAAAUGGUGCCGUAACUUCGGGAGAAGGCACGCUGAUAUGUAGGUGAGGUCCCUCGCGGAUGGAGCUGAAAUCAGUCGAAGAUACCAGCUGGCUGCAACUGUUUAUUAAAAACACAGCACUGUGCAAACACGAAAGUGGACGUAUACGGUGUGACGCCUGCCCGGUGCCGGAAGGUUAAUUGAUGGGGUUAGCGGUAACGCGAAGCUCUUGAUCGAAGCCCCGGUAAACGGCGGCCGUAACUAUAACGGUCCUAAGGUAGCGAAAUUCCUUGUCGGGUAAGUUCCGACCUGCACGAAUGGCGUAAUGAUGGCCAGGCUGUCUCCACCCGAGACUCAGUGAAAUUGAACUCGCUGUGAAGAUGCAGUGUACCCGCGGCAAGACGGAAAGACCCCGUGAACCUUUACUAUAGCUUGACACUGAACAUUGAGCCUUGAUGUGUAGGAUAGGUGGGAGGCUUUGAAGUGUGGACGCCAGUCUGCAUGGAGCCGACCUUGAAAUACCACCCUUUAAUGUUUGAUGUUCUAACGUUGACCCGUAAUCCGGGUUGCGGACAGUGUCUGGUGGGUAGUUUGACUGGGGCGGUCUCCUCCUAAAGAGUAACGGAGGAGCACGAAGGUUGGCUAAUCCUGGUCGGACAUCAGGAGGUUAGUGCAAUGGCAUAAGCCAGCUUGACUGCGAGCGUGACGGCGCGAGCAGGUGCGAAAGCAGGUCAUAGUGAUCCGGUGGUUCUGAAUGGAAGGGCCAUCGCUCAACGGAUAAAAGGUACUCCGGGGAUAACAGGCUGAUACCGCCCAAGAGUUCAUAUCGACGGCGGUGUUUGGCACCUCGAUGUCGGCUCAUCACAUCCUGGGGCUGAAGUAGGUCCCAAGGGUAUGGCUGUUCGCCAUUUAAAGUGGUACGCGAGCUGGGUUUAGAACGUCGUGAGACAGUUCGGUCCCUAUCUGCCGUGGGCGCUGGAGAACUGAGGGGGGCUGCUCCUAGUACGAGAGGACCGGAGUGGACGCAUCACUGGUGUUCGGGUUGUCAUGCCAAUGGCACUGCCCGGUAGCUAAAUGCGGAAGAGAUAAGUGCUGAAAGCAUCUAAGCACGAAACUUGCCCCGAGAUGAGUUCUCCCUGACUCCUUGAG